Molecule: long non-coding RNA, 1428 nt
Filed under: Mus musculus (house mouse)
Lineage: Eukaryota; Metazoa; Chordata; Mammalia; Rodentia; Muridae
Description: predicted gene, 47469
Source: RNAcentral
AUAUGAACUAAUCAGUACCCCCAGAACUCGUGUCUCUAGCUGCAUAUGUAGCAGAAGAUGGCCUAGUCGGCCAUCAUUAGGAAGAGAGGCCCCUUGAUCUAGCAAACUUUAUAUGUCCCAGUAGAGGGGAUAGCCAGGGCCAAGAAGUGGGAGUGACUGGGUAGGGGAGCAGGGUGGUAGGAGGAUAUAGGAGACUUUUGGGAUAGCAUUUGAAAUGUAAAUGAAAAAAAUAUCUAAAAAAUAAAAAAGAGUAAAAUUAAUUAAAUAAAUAAAUGAAUAAUAAGUAUUCCAAGUAAUAUUAGGGAUUGAUGCUUGUCCAUGGGAUGAGUCUCAAGUUGGGUAAGGUAUAGGUUGGCUCUUUCCUUAGUGUCUGUUCCAUCUUUGUGCCUGCAUUUCCUCCUUUCCUCUCCUUUCCUUUCCUUUCCUUUCCUUUCCUUUUCUUUUCUUUUCUUUUCUUUUCUUUUCUUUUCUUUUCUUUCUUUCCUUCUUUCUUAAGAUUUAUUUAUUUAUUAAUUAUUAGUAUGCUGUAGCUGUUUUGAGACACCCAGAAGUGACACAGGUGAACCUUAUAGUUCAGUUUCCUUCUAAAAUAACUUGCUGAUUUGAUUGUAACUUCUCUGUCAGGGAAUAGUGGAGGAAACACCAGAAGUACAUGUAUAUAUUGUCAAGGAGGCAUAUAUUUAUUUACAGUGAUGUCAGGAUUAUGCUUUGUGUUGUCCAAAUCUAUGGGAUAUUUUAGGAUGCAGUGACUUAUGAUGAUGUGAGUGUGAACUUCACUGAGGAAGAGUGGGAUUUGCUGGAUCCUUCCCAGAAAAGUCUCUAUGAAGAGGUGAUGCUGGAGACCUACCAGAACAUCACUGCUAUAGGCUACAAUUUGGAAGACCAUCAUAUUGAAGAACAUAGUCAAAGUUCUAGAAGACAUGAAAGGCAUGAAAGAAUUCAUAUUGGAGAGAAACCGUAUGAACGUAACCAGUGUGGUAAAGCCUUUGCAAGUGACAAUCAUCUCCAAAUACAUAAAAGAACAAAUACUGGAGAGAAACCUUAUGAAUGUAAUCAAUGUGGUAAAGCCUUUUCACAACGCAGUAAUCUCCAAUAUCAUAUUAGAAGUCAUACUGGAGAGAAGCCCUAUAAAUGUAAUCAGUGUGGUAAAGCCUAUGGACAUCACAGUAGUCUCCAAUAUCAUAAAAGAACACAUACUGGAGAGAAACCUUAUCACUGUAAUCAAUGUGAUAAAGCAUUUUCAGAACACAGUAGUCUUGAAUAUCAUAAAAUAACACAUACUGGAGUGAAACCUUAUGAGUGUGAUCAAUGUGGUAAAGCCUUUGCAUGGCAGUCUAGUCUCAAUAUACAUAAAAGAACACAUUCUGGAGAGAAACCUUAUAAGUGUAAUGAAUGUGGUAAAGCCUUUGCACAUCACAAUAGUCUCCA